GAUGAACGCUAGCUACAGGCUUAACACAUGCAAGUCGAGGGACCGGCGCACGGGUGAGUAACACGUAUCCAACCUGCCCUGUACUCGGGGAUAGCCUUUCGAAAGAAAGAUUAAUACCCGAUAUCAAGGGUGGGGAUGCGUUCCAUUAGGUUGUUGGUGAGGUAACGGCACACCAACCCUUCGAUGGCUAGGGGUUCGGAGAGGAAGUGCCCCCACAUUGGAACUGAGGCACUGUCCAAUCUCCUACGGGAGGCAGGAGUGAGGUAUAUUGGGCAAUGGGCGCUAGCCUGAACCAGCCGAGUAGCGUGAAGGAUGAAGGCUUAUGGGUCGUAAACUUCUUGUAGAUAAGAAUAGGUAUUAUAUGAAUAAGGAUCGGCUAACUCCGUGCCAGCCGCCGCGGUAAUUC
RNAcentral lists this ribosomal RNA (406 nucleotides) under uncultured bacterium. Its description in RNAcentral is "partial 16S ribosomal RNA". It matches the Rfam family "Bacterial small subunit ribosomal RNA", at positions 28 to 526 of the family's 1533-position model. The record is from RNAcentral.